Molecule: ribosomal RNA, 117 nt
Filed under: Candidatus Berkelbacteria bacterium
Lineage: Bacteria; Candidatus Berkelbacteria
Source: RNAcentral
CUCGCUGGCUUUGGAGUGAGGGCAACACCCGUUCCCAUCCCGAACACGGAAGUUAAGACUCACAUCGCCGAUGGUACUUGGGUGCUUGCGCCCCGGAAGAGUAGGACGCCAGCGAGU